UAGGGAAUAUUGGACAAUGGGGGCAACCCUGAUCCAGCCAUGCCGCGUGAGUGAAGAAGGCCCUCGGGUUGUAAAGCUCUUUUGUCCGGAAAGAAAAGCAUUCGGUGAAUACCCGGAUGUUCUGACGGUACCGGAAGAAUAAGCACCGGCUAACUUCGUGCCAGCAGCCGCGGUAAUACGGAGGGUGCGAGCGUUAUCCGGAUUUACUGGGUUUAAAGGGUGCGUAGGUGGGCUUAUAAGUCAGUGGUGAAAUCUCCGAGCUUAACUUGGAAACUGCCGUUGAUACUAUAGGUCUUGAAUUAUCUGGAGGUAAGCGGAAUAUGUCAUGUAGCGGUGAAAUGCUUAGAUAUGACAUAGAACACCAAUUGCGAAGGCAGCUUACUACAUAUAAAUUGACGCUGAGGCACGAAAGCGUGGGGAUCAAACA
This 427-nucleotide ribosomal RNA is filed under the name uncultured bacterium. RNAcentral's name for it is "bacterial SSU rRNA". It matches the Rfam family "Bacterial small subunit ribosomal RNA", at positions 355 to 774 of the family's 1533-position model. The record is from RNAcentral.